RNAcentral lists this ribosomal RNA (773 nucleotides) under uncultured bacterium. RNAcentral describes it as "bacterial SSU rRNA". It matches the Rfam family "Bacterial small subunit ribosomal RNA", at positions 8 to 796 of the family's 1533-position model. The record is from RNAcentral.
AGAGUUUGAUCAUGGCUCAGGAUGAACGCUGGCGGCGUGCUUAACACAUGCAAGUCGAACGAUGAAGGUAGCUUGCUACUGGAUUAGUGGCGAACGGGUGAGUAACACGUGAGUAACCUGCCCUUGACUCUGGGAUAAGCACUGGAAACGGUGUCUAAUACCGGAUACGAGCUUCAGCCGCAUGGCUAGGAGUUGGAAAGAAUUUUGGUCAAGGAUGGACUCGCGGCCUAUCAGCUAGUUGGUGAGGUAAUGGCUCACCAAGGCGACGACGGGUAGCCGGCCUGAGAGGGUGACCGGCCACACUGGGACUGAGACACGGCCCAGACUCCUACGGGAGGCAGCAGUGGGGAAUAUUGCACAAUGGGCGAAAGCCUGAUGCAGCAACGCCGCGUGAGGGACGACGGCCUUCGGGUUGUAAACCUCUUUUAGUAGGGAAGAAGCGAAAGUGACGGUACCUGCAGAAAAAGCACCGGCUAACUACGUGCCAGCAGCCGCGGUAAUACGUAGGGUGCAAGCGUUAUCCGGAAUUAUUGGGCGUAAAGAGCUCGUAGGCGGUUUGUCGCGUCUGCUGUGAAAACUGGAGGCUCAACCUCCAGCCUGCAGUGGGUACGGGCAGACUAGAGUGCGGUAGGGGAGAUUGGAAUUCCUGGCGUAGCGGUGGAAUGCGCAGAUAUCAGGAGGAACACCAAUGGCGAAGGCAGAUCUCUGGGCCGUAACUGACGCUGAGGAGCGAAAGCAUGGGGAGCGAACAGGAUUAGAUACCCUAGUAGUCC